AGAGCGAACGCUGGCGGCAGGCCUAACACAUGCAAGUCGAACGGACUCUUCGGAGUUAGUGGCGGACGGGUGAGUAACACGUGGGAGCGUGCCUUUAGGUUCGGAAUAGCUCCUGGAAACGGGUGGUAAUGCCGAAUGUGCCCUUCGGGGGAAAGAUUUAUCGCCUUUAGAGCGGCCCGCGUCUGAUUAGCUAGUUGGUGAGGUAAAGGCUCACCAAGGCUACGAUCAGUAGCUGGUCUGAGAGGAUGACCAGCCACAUUGAGACUGAGACACGGCCCAAACUCCUACGGGAGGCAGCAGUGGGGAAUCUUGCGCAAUGGGCGAAAGCCUGACGCAGCCAUGCCGCGUGAAUGAUGAAGGUCUUAGGAUUGUAAAAUUCUUCAGUAGGACGAUAAUGACGUACUACAGAAGAAGCCCGCUAACUUCGCGCCAGCAGCCGC
RNAcentral lists this ribosomal RNA (440 nucleotides) under uncultured soil bacterium. RNAcentral describes it as "bacterial SSU rRNA". It matches the Rfam family "Bacterial small subunit ribosomal RNA", at positions 26 to 518 of the family's 1533-position model. The record is from RNAcentral.